Long non-coding RNA from Centruroides sculpturatus (bark scorpion), 1475 nucleotides. RefSeq lists it as uncharacterized. The record is from RefSeq and is a predicted model, not a curated record. Lineage: Eukaryota; Metazoa; Arthropoda; Arachnida; Scorpiones; Buthidae. The transcript has 2 exons.
UUAAGAAUUAUAUUUUUUUAUUAGUUAGUGAUUUAAAUUUCCUUUUUAAUACAGCAAGAAGUCUUUACAACAUAGCAAUUGUUUUUAUGGCACUCCUCGUCUCAGUAUUCCUUUAUCAGUUUAGCACGAAUUUUUAAAAAUUGGUUCUUAAAAAUAUAAUUUAUUUAAAAUAUAAAAGGUGAACUAACUUUGUGUAAUACUCGUAGUUUCUAUUUACACUAAAAAAACAGAAAAUAAAAUAAAUAACAACGUUUAUCGAUAGUUAUUUUGAAAAAAAUAGUAUUGUUGCGUGACAGAGGUCUCUCAAAUAAAUGCACUUGCGCUAUAACGUUUAUAAUUAAUUUAUACAUAAAAAUUAAUUAUUUUUCAUACUUUCUCACUCACAUUACGCAUUCAAGGUGCCUUUUCAAUUAUUGCAAUUUAAAUCAUUAAUCAUUUGCAUCAAGGCAAUCAAUUAUAGAACAUUAAUCCCAUAACCAGAAGUAGAACUAAAUAAUAGUCCUUAAUAAACGAAGCAAAGCAAUUAACUAUUUAUCUAAUAUAACAAUUCUUUAAAUUGAUAUAUUAUAUAAAGUGCAAAGAUGAAUUUUAUUGUAAUAAAUAAUUUCAGUUGUUAAAUAAUUAUGUAUUCGACGCCAGUCAUGUGCUGGGAAAAACCGAUGAGUCAUAUUAACGUCACACUUUUCCUAUUGUGCGACUUCCUUUUACAUAAAUUUUCUUUCUUACUGAAUAUUUUCCUUUCAUAAUUUUUAAUAUUAAAAAAUUCUUAUUCUGUUAUUAUGUGUUAGGCCCCAUUUCUCCUCACCCAUACCCAUUGUGGGCCCACUAUGGGUUGAAAAAGACCCAUUUAGUGCUCGCAGAAUGAAAUAAAUUGCAAAUGCCUUACAAAAUGUUAAUUAAUAUGAGAAAAUUCGUUCGCUUGAAUUACUGUCUUAUGAAUUUUUAAAGUAGCUUUUCUCUUAUCUAAAAAGAUUUUUUAAUGAAGUCUUAAGUUACGAAGACCUGUAAAACACAAUUGUCACUGAAGAGCUUAUUUUAUAUACUAAUAUACAAUUCAAAAUUAUACUCUGAUCACAUCAAAUAAAUUUUUAAACUCCGAUAAUAUAUUUUAAAACCUAUUAUUGGAGUUUAAGGAAAAUGUCUCUUGUUUUAUUUUUCUACUUUAUAUAAAAGUAACCCUUUAUAUUGUUGACGAAUUAUUAUAUAAGCGCCAUUUAAUGAAAUAAUACAAUUCAUAUAUUGUAUAUUAUUAAUUCAUUGAAUUGUGCCUUUUAUAAGGAUGCUGAAAAAAUUUGGAGUAUCCUGUGUAAUUAUAUAUAUUUACACACAAGUGUAGUUGUGUCGUACUUUUUGAAAAUUGCAGUUAGAUGGUGACUUCUUGCACAUGGUAGAGAACUAUAGUAUAAGAAAGGAUUUACCACAACCUAAAAGAAGAUAACGAAAAAUUUACAUAUUUCCCUCUCAAUAGGUUAUAC